AACGAACGCUGGCGGCAUGCCUAACACAUGCAAGUCGAACGAGACCUUCGGGUCUAGUGGCGCACGGGUGCGUAACGCGUGGAACCUGCCCUUAGGUUCGGAAUAACUCCCCGAAAGGGGUGCUAAUACCGGAUAAUGUCUUCGGACCAAAGAUUUAUCGCCUUUGGAUGGUCCCGCGUUGGAUUAGCUAGUUGGUAGGGUAAAAGCCUACCAAGGCGACGAUCCAUAGCUGGUCUGAGAGGAUGAUCAGCCACACUGGGACUGAGACACGGCCCAGACUCCUACGGGAGGCAGCAGUGGGGAAUAUUGGACAAUGGGCGAAAGCCUGAUCCAGCAAUGCCGCGUGAGUGAUGAAGGCCUUAGGGUUGUAAAGCUCUUUUACCCGGGAUGAUAAUGACAGUACCGGGAGAAUAAGCUCCGGCUAACUCCGUG
Molecule: ribosomal RNA, 432 nt
Filed under: uncultured bacterium
Lineage: Bacteria
Description: partial 16S ribosomal RNA
Rfam family: Bacterial small subunit ribosomal RNA
Source: RNAcentral